This 69-nucleotide transfer RNA is filed under the name Pachytriton brevipes (black-spotted stout newt). Its description in RNAcentral is "tRNA-His". It matches the Rfam family "tRNA". From Rfam's summary of the family: Transfer RNA (tRNA) molecules are approximately 80 nucleotides in length. Their secondary structure includes four short double-helical elements and three loops (D, anti-codon, and T loops). Lineage: Eukaryota; Metazoa; Chordata; Amphibia; Caudata; Salamandridae. The record is from RNAcentral.
GUGCGCAUAAUUUAAAAAAAUAUUAGAUUGUGGUUCUAAAAAUGAAAGUUAAACCUCUUUCUGUGCACC